CUUCAGUUGUGCUGAUCAGAACCCAAUUGGAGCUUACAAUAAUUCGUGUGAUCUUCUUGAUAGUGAGUUCCCCAUCUCGGUGCACCUUUGCUUUUCUCAGCGCCGGAUCAUUUCUCUGACACUCUGAACAUGCCAGGUACUGAAUAGGGUUCGAAAGACCUCUUCGUUCAUCUGUAGGUUGAUCCCUACUCAAUGAAUACCCACACACACAUGCUCUCUAGCUUGGAAUAGGCUUCCCGCAAAGCUGCGGAGAGAG
Molecule: long non-coding RNA, 256 nt
Filed under: Physcomitrium patens
Lineage: Eukaryota; Viridiplantae; Streptophyta; Bryopsida; Funariales; Funariaceae
Description: long non-coding RNA (PPAT_LNC010939)
Source: RNAcentral